GACGAAACGUUGAUGGGAAGUAGUAAAACGAGUGUUUUUCUAAAGAGAGCCGGUGGUUGGUGCGAACCGGUGAAAAACGCGUUUGAAUCCACCCCGGAGUUGCAUGGCGAAAAAAGCCAUUGCCGGUUUAAAUGCCGUUAUGUGAUGAAGAGGAUUGGCUUUUGCCGAUCAAUCAGGGUGGCAACGCGGGUAGCUCUCGUCCCUUUA
RNAcentral lists this non-coding RNA (207 nucleotides) under Planococcus sp. (in: firmicutes). Its description in RNAcentral is "Planococcus sp. T-box sequence". It matches the Rfam family "T-box leader". Rfam says of the family: Uncharged tRNA acts as the effector for transcription antitermination of genes in the T-box leader family. T-boxes are found upstream of many aminoacyl-tRNA synthetase genes and some amino acid biosynthetic genes usually in Gram-positive bacteria. Lineage: Bacteria; Bacillati; Bacillota; Bacilli; Caryophanales; Caryophanaceae. The record is from RNAcentral.